GCCUGGUCCAUAUGCAGUGUGAUAAACUACAAGUAAUUUAUCACAACCAGUUACAGAUUUCUUUGUUCCUUCUCCACUCCCACUGCUUCACUUGACUAGCCUUAA
Molecule: unclassified non-coding RNA, 105 nt
Organism: Nomascus leucogenys (northern white-cheeked gibbon)
Lineage: Eukaryota; Metazoa; Chordata; Mammalia; Primates; Hylobatidae
Rfam family: Y RNA
About the family: Y RNAs are components of the Ro ribonucleoprotein particle (Ro RNP), in association with Ro60 and La proteins. The Y RNAs and Ro60 and La proteins are well conserved, but the function of the Ro RNP is not known.
Source: Ensembl